This is an RNA transcript of Cornus florida, 3598 nucleotides long. RefSeq lists it as uncharacterized. The transcript is spliced from 3 exons. The record is from RefSeq and is a predicted model, not a curated record. Lineage: Eukaryota; Viridiplantae; Streptophyta; Magnoliopsida; Cornales; Cornaceae.
AGUGACCAGUUUUUGCUUUCAAUGAACUGUUUUCUGCUACUCGACAAAUGCAACCGUAGACCAUCUAUAUGAGUUGCAAUUGUGGUAAAAGUUUAUGCAAUCCAUAUAAAAAUGACCAAAUACUUGUGUGGUUCUAUAUUUAUUUAUUAACAAAUUCAUUUUAAAAAAUGGAUUAGAUUCUCUGAGCAACCCAUUUUGUUUGCAUAAUCAGGCCAAAUACAAACUAAUAUCACAUGACUAUUACAAUAUUUAGUAAGCAUAACGCCACUUGUAUGACACAAUGGAUUUGUAAGUUUUGUACUAGCUCAAAAUUUUGUACUACAUGGUAACCAACAUGUUAUAGAAUGCAACACUUGUUAAGUAUUUUCUUUUUCUUCACAAUUUGAAAAGUAACCAACAUAUUAUAGAAUGCAACACUUGUAAGUAUUCACUUUAGGUUAAUUAAUUUGCACAAUUUUUUCUUCCUUCGUAAGUAAGUAAUUUUUUUAUUUUUUAUUUUUUAUUUUUAUAUAAUACAAUCUGUUUGGAUAACUAAGAGCAAAAAGAGAGGAGGGAAAAAAUAUCAGUAGAAUUGAUUUGUGGAUGUGGAUGGUUUUGAAGAGAAAGGUGAACCGUUGAUUUGUUUUCAUCACUCUACAAGUCUUAUGGUAGAGAAGUCAGAAGUUUUGUCAAAUUUAGUUAAAACUAGCAUAUUGGUAUAAUAAUGAAGUUGUUAAUAUGGAUUAAAAUGGGUACAAUUUAUUUGUUGGUCCAGUCUGUCUUUUAUUUCUUUGACAAAAAUAUCAUGUCUACCUACCAGUAUUGGUCUAUAUGUAUAUAGACGUGAGUAGUAGAGUGAGAAGAAAAAUCAAAAAAAUUAAUAAUGAUAAUACUGAUAAUGAUUUAUUUCUUAUAGUGUGUUUCAAGUCUUCCCACUUACUCCUUUUAGCCUUCAUCUUUUAGCCGAAAAGGGAAUAAGAUUUUGAACCAAUCCACACAAUUUACUAAGGGUCAUCAUCCUCCGUCACUUGAACAUCAGUUAUUGGGAAUCAUGUAUUUUGAAUCCAAAUUCUAAACAAAUGUGAAGCUAAAUUUGAAAAUUACAUAAUAAGAUACAAGUAAUACUAUUAAGAAGAGAAUAUUUUUAUGUGCUCUCCAUUUAUUAAUAUCAUUGAAAUUGAAACAGUUUAUAAAAUACUCAAAAAAAAGAAAAAAAGAAAAAAAGAAAAAACAGUGAGUUUUUGAUUACCUCCAACUACAUGCAUGGAAUAUGUGUCAAACAUAGAAAACACUCUGGAUAGAUUUUUUUAAUUUUUUCCCUUGAGUAGGGAAAUAUAUCAUUUUGCAAAUAUUUAGUUACAUGAAUCCCCAAAUUCAUUUAUAGGUUGUAGUAAAUUGAGCACAAUUAAGUAAGGAGUUGCUUCUUCAAAUUAUUGAGCUUAAUGUCAUGCCAUCCCAUGCCAUGCCAUGAAAUCAAAUAAGAUUGGGAUUGUUCCACUAAAGUAGGUAAGGGUUUAAGAUGAUAUAGCACAUUUAUUGAACUUAAUUUCAUCUAACAAUUUAUUAAUGGAAAACUUUAAUUUGUAGGAGUAAUAAGAAGUUAAGCAAGGUUAGAAUUGCCUACAUUGAGUUAUAUGUUGAGCCAGCCUAACAUAUACCAUCUUUUUAAGGUCCCUAAUAUAUAUUGAGUUGUUGAUAUGUCUUUCAAUUUAUAAUUCAUAUUCACUAACUUACAUUUUAAUAAAUGCCAGAAUGACCCAUCCGUUAAUUUUCCUUUUCAGAUUAAGAAGAAGCCUUAUUUUUCUCUCUCAAAUGGCUGACUACUAGAUCAAGUGGACCUGGUUUCAUUCACUGCUAUUUUGUGAUAAUACACAAUCGAAUAAAUGAAGGCGUGAGCACGCUGGUGGUGUAAUACAAAUUCUUUGUCACGUUGAUUGAAUUUAAUUAAUAAGAUAAGAUUUGACUUUUAUGAAUUAAAAGCUAACCCUUCAACACCCAACUAUAUUAUGACCUUGAUAAAUAUAUAUUAUAUAUUAUAUGUUAAACCCUUUAAUGGCUUUUCACAGUCUCUCUCACUCUUUCAGCUAGCCUAUAAAUAGAGAUGAGUAACUGAUUAGCUUUCUCAUCCUUCUCCAGUUUGAAAAAGUAUACGAAAAUGGCUUCUAAGGCAUUUCUUUUGCUUGGUCUUGCAUUUGCUAAUCUUCUUCUCAUCACUUCAGAGGUGGCAGCUAGAGACUUGGCUGAAACUACCACUGAGAGAAAGAGUGAGUUUAGGCUCUACAUUGAUCACACACACUGACACACAUAUCACAUAAUUUUUAUUUUAAUUUGCACAUGAAAAAUAAAUGAUUCUUGAAGGGAGAGACUGCAGCGAAAUAAUGUUGGUUAGUUACAAUUCUUCUAUUGGUUCAUUGUGAUCAUUGUUGAUGCAAAAUUGGUGAUUUAAAAUUGGAAUUAAAAGAAGAUUAGUUUAAAAUUUGUACUAAUUUUUUUUUUUUAAUUUAGACAUAAUGUUCUUUGUUGUGAAUAGAGUAUAUAUUAAUACCCCAAACUCACAUCAAUUCCUUUCCACCUGGGUAGUCUGGUCCUUUGCUUUUCCUUUGCCUGCUCCCUUUUCCAGAUUCUAGUUUUUCUGAGUUCUUAGAUUUUCUGUUCAUGAGGCUAUUUUUUUGGUUGCAACUCUUUCUCUGAUGAGGAAGUUGAAAGUCCUGAGGAGGGUCCUGCUAUUCGCAUGUACAAGGACACGCGUUUUAGGGAAGAAACUGGAUGGGUAAACGAGAUAGCUAAGCAGAACUACUGUCAGUAUUGAAAUGAAAACAAAAUACUGCAAAUGAGGAAAAUAAGCAGGAAAUAUCAGUACAGUGAAGAAAUGCAAAAAAUCAGAAGAAAAGUGAAGAAAAGAAAGAAAUGAAAGAGAAGUUUUCACAAGUUUCUCACAAUUCUGAUGGUACCAAUCCUAUCAUAAAUGAUGUUGAGAUAGUGAAAAACCAAUUAGGUAUCAGAAAGGGAUAUCGUCGUGAGUUCGGAAAUGGUUUUGUAGCUCCAAGCCAUCAACGUGCAUCCUCAUCUUUUGAAGAGGCUUCUAUAAAAAGGGUGAAAAAUGUUGAAGAAAAAAAUGCACAACUUACGGAGAAAGUUACAAGUUUGGAGGAGAAGUUGGAUACAAUUCAGAAGCUACUUGAGCAACAACGGCACCUCCUUGAGCAGCAACAACAGCAACAACAACAACUCCUUGAGCAGUAACAACAGCAGCAACAGCCGCCACCACCACGGUUCCACUAAAAUCGACAUUCUCCAUCACAUUCCCAACAGCAGCAUGCCCCGCCAAGCUGGUAUUAGUAGCCGCCAACAAUCACCUGGAUGAACUAUAAAGAUAAUUAUUUUGGUAGAUAUAUUUUGGAGCUUUUUGAUAGCUAGCUAGCUGAUUUCUAACUAUUUUGGUACGUGUAUUUUUUGGCCUGCAUUUUCAUGAUUGCAUUCAGUUUAAAAUGAUGUUUUAAUUUUUGAGGAUGUUUGGAACCAUUUGAUGUUAAAGUAGCUAGUACAUACUUUUAGUUCUUGUUUACAAAACUGGAAAAUUUGUAGUUUCAUUAUGAGAUUAAGAGCUCGUUUGUUGGCA